ACGAACGCUGGCGGCGUGCUUAACACAUGCAAGUCGAACGGUGAAGCGCCUUCCUUUUUGGUGGGUGUGGAUGAGUGGCGAACGGGUGAGUAACACGUGAGUAACCUGCCCCCUUCUUCUGGAUAACCGCAUGAAAGUGUGGCUAAUACGGGAUAUUCUGGGUCUGUCGCAUGAUGGGUCUGGGAAAGAUAUUGUUUCGGUGGGGGAUGGGCUCGCGGCCUAUCAGCUUGUUGGUGGGGUGAUGGCCUACCAAGGCGGUGACGGGUAGCCGGCCUGAGAGGGUGGACGGUCACACUGGGACUGAGACACGGCCCAGACUCCUACGGGAGGCAGCAGUGGGGAAUAGUGCACAAUGGGCGCAAGCCUGAUGCAGCGACGCCGCGUGAGGGGUGGAGGCCUUCGGGUUGUGAACCUCUUUCGCCAGUGAAGCAGGCCUGCCUCGUUUGUGGGUGGGUUGACGGUAGUUGGAUAAGAAGCGCCGGCUAACUACGUG
Molecule: ribosomal RNA, 493 nt
Filed under: uncultured bacterium
Lineage: Bacteria
Description: partial 16S ribosomal RNA
Rfam family: Bacterial small subunit ribosomal RNA
Source: RNAcentral